ACUCCUACGGGAGGCAGCAGUGGGGAAUAUUGCACAAUGGGCGCAAGCCUGAUGCAGCCAUGCCGCGUGUAUGAAGAAGGCCUUCGGGUUGUAAAGUACUUUCAGCAGUGAGGAAGGUGGAUAUGUUAAUAGCAUAUUCAUUUGACGUUAGCUGCAGAAGAAGCACCGGCUAACUCCGUGCCAGCAGCCGCGGUAAUACGGAGGGUGCGAGCGUUAAUCGGAAUUACUGGGCGUAAAGCGCAUGCAGGUGGUUUGUUAAGUCAGAUGUGAAAGCCCGGGGCUCAACCUCGGAAUUGCAUUUGAAACUGGCAAACUAGAGUACUGUAGAGGGGGGUAGAAUUUCAGGUGUAGCGGUGAAAUGCGUAGAGAUCUGAAGGAUACCGGUGGCGAAGGCGGCCCCCUGGACAGAUACUGACACUCAGAUGCGAAAGCGUGGGGAGCAAACGAGGAUUAGAUACCCUGGUAGGCU
This 469-nucleotide ribosomal RNA is filed under the name uncultured bacterium. RNAcentral's name for it is "bacterial SSU rRNA". It matches the Rfam family "Bacterial small subunit ribosomal RNA", at positions 335 to 796 of the family's 1533-position model. The record is from RNAcentral.